This is an RNA transcript of Rhodamnia argentea, 1511 nucleotides long. It is a transcript of the gene named ycf20-like protein, with no coding region annotated. The transcript has 3 exons. The record is from RefSeq and is a predicted model, not a curated record. NCBI's taxonomy places the organism in Eukaryota, Viridiplantae, Streptophyta, Magnoliopsida, Myrtales, Myrtaceae.
AGAAUAUAGACAGACCCGAAGAAAGUAUCAAUGACUACUUCUCUUCUCCUUUGCCUGGCCUCGGAUGGAUCGUGCGGAUGAAACGAUUCAGCCACCUUCAACCGUUAGCACCACUGGUCAGUGAGCAUCACUUCUCCUCACUGACACUCGACCAAGGUAAACCCUUCUAGCACCUGGAAUGGCCCAUUCUUUGAGCCUGACUGCUCCAGGGGUCUUUAAGUGGGGCUCGAGUCCCUGUUCCCGUGCUCCGCGAGGAAAAUUCGGCAUGCUUGUUUCGAGGCUCCCCUCUACUUCCUUCCGAGUUCGAGCCGUCCAAGAUGAUGAAAGGCCUCGAAGACUAAUCGACAUUAUUAGAAUUGUCCCUGAGAUCUCGAGGAAUUACUUCCGUAGUCGUCCUCGGAGGGCGCUCUUUGGUGGGAUCUCUCUUCUAGGGGGUUUUUAUGUUGCACAAACAAUCUCCUUGUCAUUUGGAGCAUUAGGGGUGAACGAUGUCAUUGCUGCUGUACUCUGUGUUCUCUUGACAGAGUAUGUUACCAGGUUUUACUACAGCCGACCAAAGGUUACUUUCCCCGUCGCUCUUCUCAAUAAUUUCAAGAUGGGUUUCACCUACGGACUCUUCAUUGAUGCCUUCAAGCUUGCUAGUUAGCACAACGGUUAGAGGAAAGGUAUAGAUGUCAAAUGGCAGCAUUUUACCUAUGUACAUUUUGUAGCGUACGAGAGUACAAUCCUCACUCGUAUCCUAUCUUGCUUGCUUACUAGCCACAUUAAAGCCUUGUUGAUUUAUACAAUUUUGCUCUCUUCUGUUAGAUAUCCUGAUUGCCACUUGUUGAUACAGACAUGCAGCUCAUGUUGAUCUGGGCAACCUCUCUGCUCACUUCAAGUAUUCUGAGUUUGCUUGGUAAUGGAUGAUCUUCAAAUUUCUUGAAUUAUGAGACUUGGGGGGGGCUCAUGUAUGAAAACCAAAAUCUGUAUUUCCUCUCAGCUUGAGUGUGCAGGUGCUUAAGAUUCUGGAAUUACUUGCUUUUAGUUGUGUGAAUGAAGAGGUUGGUUAUUACAAGCGAGCUUUAGAAUAUGUAGCAAUUUCCUUCACUGAAUAGCUGAUGUUCGAGGUUUCUUCCUUCUUCCUUUUCUCAGUCUGCGGUUUACAAGACUUACUCUGACUGAACAGUUCUAGGCAGCAACUUCCUGACAUGCCUUGGAGGAUUAUAUAUCCCUCUAAUCCGAAGGCUCACGCGCCCAUUCCGGGUGACAAAUUUGACUUUUUUGGGAGGUUUGUGGAUGACAUCUCCUGCUCUCACGGGUAGUUUUGCAGAUCUAGUCGUUACUUCAGUCCUGUGCCGAAAGCAUAAGAAACCUUGCUUUGCAUUGUAUCGAUUUGUUUGGAGCUGCUGGGUUUAUGAUCGUUUCUGUCAUCGUUCUUCUGUUUAGCAUGGCAUUUUUCCUGAAACUGUAAUCGAAAGCUUUUAGCUGCCAUGAAGUAAUAACAUAUGCAGCUAACAUGAUGUGCUCCA